UACAGAGGUGGCAAGCGUUGUUCGGAAUUACUGGGCGUAAAGGGCGCGUAGGCGGCCUUCUAAGUCGGACGUGAAAUCCCCAGGCUUAACUUGGGAACUGCGUCUGAUACUGGGAGGCUUGAGUGCGGGAGAGGGAUGUGGAAUUCCAGGUGUAGCGGUGAAAUGCGUAGAUAUCUGGAGGAACACCGGUGGCGAAGGCGGCAUCCUGGACCGACACUGACGCUGAGGCGCGAAAGCCAGGGGAGCAAACGGG
RNAcentral lists this ribosomal RNA (253 nucleotides) under uncultured bacterium. RNAcentral's name for it is "partial 16S ribosomal RNA". It matches the Rfam family "Bacterial small subunit ribosomal RNA", at positions 524 to 776 of the family's 1533-position model. The record is from RNAcentral.